RNAcentral lists this ribosomal RNA (1482 nucleotides) under Triticum aestivum (bread wheat). RNAcentral describes it as "partial small subunit ribosomal RNA". The record is from RNAcentral. Lineage: Eukaryota; Viridiplantae; Streptophyta; Magnoliopsida; Poales; Poaceae.
AUGACGACAGUCCAAAACAAUAAUACUACUCCUACUAGCCUGGGCGACAAUAAUGCAAGGACGAAGCUGGUUGUCAUCUACGCCCCGCCGGGGAUGGCAGGCCACUUGUUCCCCACCGUGGAGUUUGGCAAGCUACUUGUGGCGCAGGGCCUCGAGGUCACCGUCGUCCUCAGCGGGGUCGGGGACGCCGACGACCUCACAAGGAUCAGGGCGGCCAACCCGUCGCUGUCCUUCCACUGCCUCCCCACGCCCAUGCUUCCAUCCGCCGGCGCCGAUAGUUUCGAGGCUAAGGUUUUCGGGCUCGCGCACGCCUCCCUCCCGGACCUUCGUGACUUCCUCCGCUCCGCCUCUCCGGCUGCUCUCGUCAUCGACUUCUUCUGCGCCAGCGCCUUCGACGUCGGCGCCGAACUCGGCAUUCCGACCUACUUCUUCCUCACCACUUGCAUCUCCGUCGUCGCCUUUGGUCUCUACCAGCCAGCCAUGGAUGAGCAGACCACUCUGAGCUUCCGGGACCUCGGCGGCGACCUUGUGCACGCCCCUGGGUUGCCACCCAUACCGGCAGAUCACCUCCCCGCGUUCACUCUCGAUCGCAACAGCUUGAGCACCAAGUUGUUCAGGGACGUGCCCCACCAGCUGUGCAACUCACAAGGAAUUAUUGUCAACAGCUGCCGCUCCUUGGAGCCCCGUGCCGUCGACGCCAUCGUCUCCGGCCUCUGCACCCCCGGACGGCCAACACCGCCAUUGUACUGCAUAGGACCACUGAUAAAGCCCAAGGAGGUUGGGGUUGGCACAGAGCGCCACGAGUGCCUCGCAUGGCUCGAUGGCCAGCCCAAGGCCAGUGUGGUGUUUCUCUGUUUUGGCAGCUCUGGCCGGUUCGGCACGGAGCAGAUCAAGCAGAUGGCGGCGGGGCUGGAGACGAGCGGGCAACGGUUCUUGUGGGUUGUGCGGCGCCCUGUGACAGGCGACGAGCACCACCAGUUGGCCGUCGACGAGCUCGACCUGGACGCGCUCUUUCCCACGGGCUUCCUGCACCGGACAAGGGAGAGGGGAUUGGUUGUAAUGUCGUGGGCACCGCAGCGGGACGUGCUGGCGCACGGCGCGGUCGGCGGGUUUGUGACGCACUGCGGAUGGAACUCGGUGAUGGAGGCGGUCAUGGCGGGCGUGCCGAUGCUGGCGUGGCCUCUAUACGCCGAGCAACGCAUGAACAAGCUGUUUUUGGUGGAGGGGAUGCAGCUGGCCGUGGCCAUGGAAGGGUACGACAAACAGAUGGUGGAAGCUGAGGAGGUGGCCGCCAAGGUCAGGUGGCUGAUCGAGUCCGACGGCGGGCGGGAGCUCCGGCAACGAACGCACGCGGCCAUGCGGGUUGCCAAGGACGCGCUGGACAAGGCUGGCGAGUCCACAACAGCGUUGGUGCACCUUGCGAGGCAGUGGAAAAACGCCGACCACGACGCAACUGCUGCUUGUGGCCUCAUCAUCGACUGA